This is an RNA transcript of Dunckerocampus dactyliophorus (ringed pipefish), 2506 nucleotides long. It is a transcript of the gene named MAGUK p55 scaffold protein 4b, with no coding region annotated. The record is from RefSeq and is a predicted model, not a curated record. Lineage: Eukaryota; Metazoa; Chordata; Actinopteri; Syngnathiformes; Syngnathidae. The transcript is spliced from 9 exons.
GUAGGAUCGGGAGAGAUUAGAGCUCUCUCACUUCUCGUAGUUGGACGACAGUGUGGUGCUUGGUCCUCUGUUGAGUCUCGAUUUUACCAGCAAAUAUUGUUUUCUUUCUGCAACUGGACUGAUGCAAGAGGCGACAACAUCUGGAAGAUAGAAGCCGGUGGCAUCCUUUCAGAUUUGGACGUGGAGGUAAACUUUCACUUUGAUGCAUGAUUUACAUUCAUUUUAAUACGUGAGCAGUUAUCAUCUUGGACAUGUCCGUUUAAGAUUUGACAGGCUGACCCUUUUUUUAUUUUCAUUAACAACCCAUAAAGGAUGGAAUCAAAUAUGCUAGAGUUGAGUUGAUGCUGUCUUGUACCUCUUGCUCCCAAUACAUGAGUGUUAUUACGGGCCGCCAUUAACCCCUGACCUUUUCACACUGACAACCAGCUCAAGACGGGAUUACCAUCAGGAAAAGCAGUCGGAUGUCACAGAAACCCCCCAAAAACUCGUCACAGCGUUUAAAGGUGGAGGGUUCAGCGAGCAUGAGGCAGGCGGUGGAGGCUCAGGUGUUAAGCCCUCACUGUGAACUCGGAGAGCAUGGCCUUCGUCAGAUCCUGACAGAUGUGGUGGAGGAGGUGAGGCGCACGCUGAAUCAGGACAUCGACGGAGCAGAGAUUCUCCAGAGUCUUCUCAAUGCCUCCUGGUUGCAGUCGCUGCUCAAGGUUUAUGAGUGUCUUCAAAGAUACCUCCGAGACUCCCCAGAGCCGGCCUUGGACUACGCCUCUGGACUCUCAUUUCAGCUGCUGAUUGACAUCAAGGCGUUACCUGGAUGCUCUGAGGAGGCCAAGGAGCUCGACCGACUCCUGCGACAGCCGCACUUGCAGGCUUUGCUUUCUGCGCACGACAGCGUGGCCCAGAAGGACUACGAGCCGGCGUUGCCGCCGAUGCCAGCUGAUGUUCCGGAUGACGAGGAGGCCACCAGGAUCGUCUGCCUGGUCAAAAACAAGCAGUCCCUGCUUUGCCACCAUCUGAGUGCUUGUCCGCAGCUGCCUGCCAUGGCAAAAAGCCCCAGAGCAGGGAUCCGCAGUCGCUGGGACACGCUGAGGCGUCUGACGCGCCAGAGGCUUCACUUAGAGGGCGCGCUGGGCUCCGGGCGCAUCCCCAGCCCGCGUGAGACUUAUUCAGCAGUGUGUAGCGUGCGCAGAGGGAGCUACCCGCCAGCAGAGGCGCUCUGUCACCAAGCGCUUUGGCCCCGCCGUCCGCCUUGCUGCGCAGCCAUGAGUAGCAAUAGCAACGCAAUGAGCCGGUGUCGACUUUGUUACACAAACCUCCUCUGGCAGCAAAAUGUCAACCACUCAGCUCCUUCAGUCUACAACUCUGUUCUGAUUGACAACUUCAUUGAAGAGAUAGAUGGCAGAAAUGAGGAUGAAGCAACUGCGCCACCCAUUCAGGCCCCCAGCAUGCCCCAGCGGUGGGCUGUUUCCCCUCCUGGCCUCUCCCUGCCCUACUACGCCAACGUGGACCAGUCCCUACAGCCUAGUCUGCCUCCAAGGCUAAGAAGCCAGAGCCCGCGAAGCCGCACGGCGCCCCCCAGCCCCAUGUGCCCCCAGCGCCUUGUAAAGAUCCCUCGGGUGCCCCCUGUGGAGCUCGCCAAGCAGGAGAGUCUGGAUGAGCUGCGGAGCACCGUGCAGCUGGCCGCCAGCUCCAUGGAGAACAGCACCAAGGAUAUCAAGCUCCUCGGGGAGAAGAUGGCGGCUGCAACCGACCGCAUGUCUGAAACCGUCCAGGACAAUUCCCAGGCUUUAGUCGUCCUCAGCCAGGUGGUGGAGCAGCUGCAGGUGCGCCUCACCGCCUCACCGGCGAAGGGUGCAAUCGCUGAGCAGUAUGCGUCCCUGAAAUCCAUGCCAUGGGUUGUGUCGUCCUCGUCCAGUUCCCUCAGCAGCUGCCCGGACGAGCCCUCCACUUCCGGGGCCACCAGCUGUCUGUCAGGGGCCUGCCGCGGGUCGCCCCGCUGGAAAGGCAAGAAACCGCCUUUGACUAACGGCACCUCGGCCGAACCCAAAGAGGCUGUGAGAGGAAAUCACUCUCAAGGGAGGAAAAAAGGGAGGAAGACGGCGACGUGAGAGGCCGACGAGAGCAAAACAUCCACCUCUUUGCGUUGGUUGGAUAUUUAUUUUAUUCCAUCUCAGUCUCCAUCAUUAAGGACCACUUCAUGCCUUUCUGUGUCCCUUUUCACUCUGUUCAUUUGUGUUUGCUUCCUUCCACCACCCUGGAGUCAGUCUGCAGUCUUCAUUGACCCAUCACUGGACCUCCAUUGUGCCUCCGUUGCGCCUCACUCGUCUUAUGUGGUCUCCCUGUUUCUGUCCUAGGGGGCAACGAUAAAGAGAAAUGACAUCACCGGGGAGAUUUUUGUGGCUCGGGUGAUCCACGGAGGCCUGGCCGAUCGUAGUGGUCUGCUGCACGCGGGGGACCGAAUCAUUGAGGUGAAUGGAUUUCCUGUGGAUGGCUUGGAGCCGGAACAAGUCAU